AAUCAUCAAUCAAUCAUACAUAUUAAUAAAUAUGUAUAUCAUCGGCUAUUUUAUUAGCUAAUCACUAGCAAGUAUUUACACAUCAUUCAUUGUUCAUAUUAUACCAAAAGUAGCAAGUUUCUAUACAUGCCAUACCCAAAACAAAACGUCUAGUUAUACCGAGUUAUUUCUUUGAUAGUGUGAUCGGCCUCCGACGUUUCCUUCGAUCCCCGAGUGACUAGAUAAGUACUAUAAGAAGAAGAAAAUAAAGAGAUUAAGCACUAGGCUUAGUAAGCUUACAAGCAAAUAAAUCACAACAUUCAACAUAAUGGAUAAUUAUGCAUAAUAUCAUCUAACAUCAUAAAUUUCUUUACUUCUCAAUUUGUAUCUUCUUCUUUAUUCCCUUACUUUCUUUCUUACCUGACCUUUCCUUUUUCAUAAGUAUAAUCUACUUUUCCUUUGCUGUUAAUUCACUGUAAUUUAACUCGUAUCCUGACCCGUUGAACCACUCGGAAUACUAAGGAUACUAAGGUCGUUCCUGUCUAUCAAUAUCCUGCCAAUGCCAUGUCUUUGACAUGGACUUACAUGAAUUAUUCCUGUCUCCAAUGCCAUAUAUAAUAUGGACUUACAUGGCUCAAUCCUGUCUCCAAAGCCAUAUUUCUAAUAUGGACUUACAUGGCGCAUUUCUGUUCUGUCCUGUCAACUCUAAUAUCCUAACAUUCCUAGGGUUCAACCGGGGCUUUCUAACACUUUUCCUCUGUCACUCCACCUUAAAUUCGACUUUACAUAUUUUCAUAACAUAAGUAUAUAAAUGCUGGAAAUUGACAAUAAUAAUGUAAAAUAAAAGAAUAUUGCAUUUAUUUACUGUAACUUACCUUGAUACAAAAUGUGACUAAACUUUACAAUUUAGUCCUUUACUUUUUCUUUUCCCCGAUCUACUCCCGAAUUUCGUUCUUCUUGAUCUAUAAUAGCAAAUUUAACUUAUUUAAUAUUCACAUUUAUUAAAACAGUCCUUGACCCAAACUUUUGCAAAAUUAUAUUUUUACCCCUAAACUUUCACAUAUUUGCACUUUUUCCCCAAGGAUCGUAAAUUAAACUUCAUCCUAUUUUCUUAUGUUUUAUGACAUGCUGAUCAUUUUUCCCUUCUAUGGCAAUAUCAAAAUCACACUCUAACAUAUACUUAUGACUAUUGAUAUUUUUUUCCAAUUUAAGCCCUUUUACUCGUUUUCACUUAAAACCGAGUAGCAUAAGUUGUUUAACAUAAUUUAAAACCUCAUAUUCUAUCAUAAAACACCAAAAUACACAAAUUUCAGCCAUGGGUAUUUUUCCAAAUAUGAACCCUAGGCUGAAUUAUUGCUAGAAUAAGCUUAAUCAAGUUACCGGGACUCCAAAAACGUAAAGAUCAUUAAAAACGGGGCUUGGAAUCACUUACUAUGAAGCUUGAAAGUUGAAGAAACCCCAGCUAUGGAGGAGAGCAAAAAUCGGCAGAAACUAAUUGAGAAGAUG
This 1485-nucleotide long non-coding RNA is filed under the name Gossypium barbadense (sea-island cotton). RNAcentral's name for it is "long non-coding RNA (GBAR_LNC000206)". The record is from RNAcentral. Lineage: Eukaryota; Viridiplantae; Streptophyta; Magnoliopsida; Malvales; Malvaceae.